This 344-nucleotide unclassified non-coding RNA is filed under the name soil metagenome. Its description in RNAcentral is "partial contains 5.8S ribosomal RNA, internal transcribed spacer 2, and large subunit ribosomal RNA". The stretch from base 1 to 120 matches the Rfam family "5.8S ribosomal RNA", at positions 35 to 154 of the family's 154-position model. The record is from RNAcentral.
GAUGAAGAACGUAGCGAAAUGCGAUAAGUAAUGUGAAUUGCAGAAUUCAGUGAAUCAUCGAAUCUUUGAACGCACAUUGCGCCCGCCAGUAUUCUGGCGGGCAUGCCUGUUCGAGUGUCAUUUCAACCCUCAAGCCCCCGGGCUUGGUGUUGGGGAUCGGCGUGCCCUCGCGGCGCGCCGUCCCCUAAAUCUAGUGGCGGUCUCGCUGUAGCUUCCUCUGCGUAGUAGCAACACUCGCACUGGAUCGCAGCGCGGCCACGCCGUUAAACCCCCCACUUCUGAAAGUUUGACCUCGGAUCAGGUAGGAAUACCCGCUGAACUUAAGCAUAUCAAUAAGCGGAGGA